UACGUAGGGUGCGAGCGUUAAUCGGAAUUACUGGGCGUAAAGCGUGCGCAGGCGGUUUUGUAAGCCAGAUGUGAAAUCCCCGGGCUUAACCUGGGAAUGGCAUUUGGGACUGCAAGGCUGGAGUACGGCAGAGGAGACUGGAAUUCCUGGUGUAGCAGUGAAAUGCGUAGAGAUCAGGAGGAAUACCGAUGGCGAAGGCAUGUCUCUGGGCUGAUACUGACGCUCAUGCACGAAAGCGUGGGGAGCAAACAGG
RNAcentral lists this ribosomal RNA (253 nucleotides) under uncultured bacterium. RNAcentral's name for it is "partial 16S ribosomal RNA". It matches the Rfam family "Bacterial small subunit ribosomal RNA", at positions 524 to 776 of the family's 1533-position model. The record is from RNAcentral.